Molecule: ribosomal RNA, 497 nt
Filed under: uncultured bacterium
Lineage: Bacteria
Description: partial 16S ribosomal RNA
Rfam family: Bacterial small subunit ribosomal RNA
Source: RNAcentral
GAUGAACGCUGGCGGCGUGCCUAAUACAUGCAAGUCGAGCGAACGGACGAGAAGCUUGCUUCUCUGAUGUUAGCGGCGGACGGGUGAGUAACACGUGGAUAACCUACCUAUAAGACUGGGAUAACUUCGGGAAACCGGAGCUAAUACCGGAUGAUAUUUUGAACCGCAUGGUUCAAAAGUGAAAGACGGUCUUGCUGUCACUUAUAGAUGGAUCCGCGCUGCAUUAGCUAGUUGGUAAGGUAACGGCUUACCAAGGCAACGAUGCAUAGCCGACCUGAGAGGGUGAUCGGCCACACUGGAACUGAGACACGGUCCAGAAUCCUACGGGAGGCAGCAGUAGGGAAUCUUCCGCAAUGGGCGAAAGCCUGACGGAGCAACGACGCGUGAGUGAUGAAGGUCUUCGGAUCGUAAAACUCUGUUAUUAGGGAAGAACAUAUGUGUAAGUAACUGUGCACAUCUUGACGGUACCUAAUCAGAAAGCCACGGCUAACUACGUG